This 375-nucleotide ribosomal RNA is filed under the name uncultured bacterium. RNAcentral's name for it is "bacterial SSU rRNA". It matches the Rfam family "Bacterial small subunit ribosomal RNA", at positions 527 to 898 of the family's 1533-position model. The record is from RNAcentral.
GUAGGGGCCUAGCGUUGUCCGGAUUUAUUGGGCGUAAAGAGCUCGUAGGCGGUUCGGUAAGUCAGGUGUGAAAUCUCCACGCUCAACGUGGAGGAGCCACCUGAUACUGCCGUGACUUGAGUCCGGUAGGGGAGUGUGGAAUUCCCGGUGUAGCGGUGAAAUGCGCAGAUAUCGGGAGGAACACCAGUAGCGAAGGCGGCACUCUGGGCCGGUACUGACGCUGAGGAGCGAAAGCGUGGGGAGCAAACAGGAUUAGAUACCCUGGUAGUCCACGCCGUAAACGUUGGGCACUAGGUGUGGGACUCUAUCGACGGGUUCCGUGCCGUAGCUAACGCAUUAAGUGCCCCGCCUGGGGAGUACGGCCGCAAGGCUAAA